RNAcentral lists this unclassified non-coding RNA (290 nucleotides) under fungal sp. RNAcentral describes it as "partial internal transcribed spacer region". The stretch from base 1 to 46 matches the Rfam family "Eukaryotic small subunit ribosomal RNA", at positions 1786 to 1831 of the family's 1831-position model. The record is from RNAcentral. Lineage: Eukaryota; Fungi.
AAGUCGUAACAAGGUUUCCGUAGGUGAACCUGCGGAAGGAUCAUUACCAAACUAAAAAGUGCAACGUGGUGUCUGCCUUGGAGCUCUUUGGGCUCUUGGUGCAGCACCCGUUCCUUUUUUUUUUCUGUGAACUGAACUGUUUUUUCUAUUCCAUUCUGUAUUUCGUUUUCUUUUCUCUGGCUACUUUUCACUAUUUCUUAACUUUCAAGUUAAGAAAAAAGGAAAAGAACGUUAGUGAAAGAAGAACAAAAUAACAAAGACAACUUUUAGCAAUGGAUCUCUUGGCUCUU